CCCCGGCGAGGGGAGUGAAAAAGAACCUGAAACCGUGUACGUACAAGCAGUGGGAGCACCCUUUGGGGUGUGACUGCGUACCUUUUGUAUAAUGGGUCAGCGACUUAUAUUCUGUAGCAAGGUUAACCGUAUAGGGGAGCCGGAGGGAAACCGAGUCUUAACCGGGCGUUAAGUUGCAGGGUAUAGACCCGAAACCCGGUGAUCUAGCCAUGGGCAGGUUGAAGGUUGGGUAACACUAACUGGAGGACCGAACCGACUAAUGUUGAAAAAUUAGCGGAUGACCUGUGGCUGGGGGUGAAAGGCCAAUCAAACCGGGAGAUAGCUGGUUCUCCCCGAAAGCUAUUUAGGUAGCGCCUCGUGAAUUCAUCUCCGGGGGUAGAGCACUGUUUCGGCUAGGGGGCCAUCCCGGCUUACCAACCCGAUGCAAACUGCGAAUACCGGAGAAUGUUAUCACGGGAGACACACGGCGGGUGCUAACGUCCGUCGUGAAGAGGGAAACAACCCAGACCGCCAGCUAAGGUCCCAAAGUCAUGGUUAAGUGGGAAACGAUGUGGGAAGGCCCAGACAGCCAGGAUGUUGGCUUAGAAGCAGCCAUCAUUUAAAGAAAGCGUAAUAGCUCACUGGUCGAGUCGGCCUGCGCGGAAGAUGUAACGGGGCUAAACCAUGCACCGA
This 672-nucleotide ribosomal RNA is filed under the name Salmonella enterica subsp. enterica. Its description in RNAcentral is "partial 23S ribosomal RNA". It matches the Rfam family "Bacterial large subunit ribosomal RNA", at positions 524 to 1197 of the family's 2925-position model. RNAcentral also lists the same sequence under 1 other name. The record is from RNAcentral. Lineage: Bacteria; Pseudomonadati; Pseudomonadota; Gammaproteobacteria; Enterobacterales; Enterobacteriaceae.